AGUCAUUGACAAGGACAUCGUCAUGGACCAGUGGUGAAGAGCCUCGAGAGAAGGUUAAUUUUUCGAAAGGAGAAGUCCACUAUUUCAGCUUCAUCAUUCAGCCUGGAAACUGAACUGCAUCAUAAAACUUGUGCUUGAAAAGUGUCAUGGGACCCAUAUUAAGUUUCCAAAUUUGAUCUGCUGCACACAAGUAGCUUUGAAGAAGAAGGAUCCCAGCUUAAAGAAAAACACAUCACAUCCAUAAUUGUUUGACAUCAUCUUCAAGCACACCUGGAUUCCUUGUUGCAAUGUCUUCAAAACAAAUGUAAAAAUUAAAGGAUUUCAGUGGUGAGCUCAUAAUGAUGGGAUCAAAAGGAAGUGAACUGGACUCUGAGGGACUUAACACAAGGUAAGUUCAUUUCAAUACAUUUUAUGUCAAGAUUAAUUCUGUGAUUUAAAUUUAUAUUUACACAUUCUACAAAUGCUGUCUUCCUACCUCAGAUUGUGAUGGACCUAGAAUGCGACACCGUUUACGAAUAAGUCAAGAACCAAAUGAAACACUAUUUUCCAGAGCGCAGAUUAU
Non-coding RNA from Danio rerio (zebrafish), 562 nucleotides. The record is from Ensembl. Lineage: Eukaryota; Metazoa; Chordata; Actinopteri; Cypriniformes; Danionidae.